This 711-nucleotide ribosomal RNA is filed under the name uncultured Staphylococcus sp. RNAcentral's name for it is "bacterial SSU rRNA". It matches the Rfam family "Bacterial small subunit ribosomal RNA", at positions 664 to 1371 of the family's 1533-position model. Lineage: Bacteria; Bacillati; Bacillota; Bacilli; Caryophanales; Staphylococcaceae. The record is from RNAcentral.
CAAUUCCAUGUGUAGCGGUGAAAUGCGCAGAGAUAUGGAGGAACACCAGUGGCGAAGGACGACUUUCUGGUCUGUAACUGACGCUGAUGUGCGAAAGCGUGGGGAUCAAACAGGAUUAGAUACCCUGGUAGUCCACGCCGUAAACGAUGAGUGCUAAGUGUUAGGGGGUUUCCGCCCCUUAGUGCUGCAGCUAACGCAUUAAGCACUCCGCCUGGGGAGUACGGCCGGCAAGGCUUAAACUCAAAGGAAUUGACGGGGACCCGCACAAGCGGUGGAGCAUGUGGUUUAAUUCGAAGCAACGCGAAGAACCUUACCAAAUCUUGACAUCCUUUGACCGCUCUAGAGAUAGAGUCUUCCCCUUCGGGGGACAAAGUGACAGGUGGUGCAUGGUUGUCGUCAGCUCGUGUCGUGAGAUGUUGGGUUAAGUCCCGCAACGAGCGCAACCCUUAAGCUUAGUUGCCAUCAUUCAGUUGGGCACUCUAAGUUGACUGCCGGUGACAAACCGGAGGAAGGUGGGGAUGACGUCAAAUCAUCAUGCCCCUUAUGAUUUGGGCUACACACGUGCUACAAUGGACAAUACAAAGGGCAGCGAAACCGCGAGGUCAAGCAAAUCCCAUAAAGUUGUUCUCAGUUCGGAUUGUAGUCUGCAACUCGACUACAUGAAGCUGGAAUCGCUAGUAAUCGUAGAUCAGCAUGCUACGGUGAAUACGU